GAUGAACGCUGGCGGCGUGCCUAAUACAUGCAAGUCGAGCGAACAGACGAGGAGCUUGCUCCUCUGACGUUAUAGGCGGAAGGGUGAGUAAAACGUGGAUAACAUACCUCUAAGACUGGGAUAACACCGGGAAACAGGAGCGAUAACAGGAUAAAAUAUUAAACCGCAUGGUUCAAAUGUGAAAGACGGUUUUGUUGUAACACUUAGAUAGAUCCGCGCCGCAUUAGCUAGUUGGUAAGGUAAAGGCUUACCAAGGCAACGAUGCGUAGCCGACCUGAGAGGGUGAUCGGCCACACUGGAACUGAGACACGGUCCAGACUCCUACGGGAGGCAGCAGUAGGGAAUCUUCCGCAAUGGGCGAAGGCCUGACGGAGCAACGCCGCGUGAGUGAUGAAGGUCUUCGGAUCGUAAAACUCUGUUAUUAGGGAAGAACAGAUGUGUAAGUAACUAAGCACUUCUUGACGGUACCUAAUCAGAAAGCCACGGCUAACUACGUG
Molecule: ribosomal RNA, 497 nt
Filed under: uncultured bacterium
Lineage: Bacteria
Description: partial 16S ribosomal RNA
Rfam family: Bacterial small subunit ribosomal RNA
Source: RNAcentral